This 460-nucleotide ribosomal RNA is filed under the name uncultured bacterium. RNAcentral's name for it is "partial 16S ribosomal RNA". It matches the Rfam family "Bacterial small subunit ribosomal RNA", at positions 338 to 795 of the family's 1533-position model. The record is from RNAcentral.
CCUACGGGGGGCAGCAGUGAGGAAUAUUGGUCAAUGGACGCAAGCCUGAACCAGCCAUGUAGCGUGAAGGAUGACUGCCCUACGGGUUGUAAACUUCUUUUAUAAAAGAGUAAAGUGAGGCACGCGUGCCUUUUUGUAUGUACUUUAUGAAUAAGGAUCGGCUAACUCCGUGCCAGCAGCCGCGGUAAUACGGAGGAUUCGAGCGUUAUCCGGAUUUAUUGGGUUUAAAGGGAGCGUAGAUGGGUUGUUAAGUUAGUUGUGAAAGUUCGCGGCUCAACCGUAAAAUUGCAAUUGAUACUGGUAGUCUUGAGUACAGUUGAGGUAGGCGGAAUUCGUGGUGUAGCGGUGAAAUGCUUAGAGAUCACGAAGAACUCCGAUUGCGAAGGCAGCUUACUAAGCUGCCACUGACAUUGAUGCUCGAAAGUGUGGGGAUCAAACAGGAUUAGAUACCCUUGUAGUC